AUACGUAGGUGGCAAGCGUUGUCCGGAAUUUACUGGGUGUAAAGGGAGCGUAGACGGUUAGGUAAGUCUGAUGUGAAAGCCCGCGGCUCAACCGCGGGACUGCAUUGGAAACUAUUUAACUAGAGUGCAGGAGAGGUAAGUGGAAUUCCUAGUGUAGCGGUGAAAUGCGUAGAUAUUAGGAGGAACACCAGUGGCGAAGGCGGCUUACUGGACUGUAACUGACGUUGAGGCUCGAAAGCGUGGGGAGC
RNAcentral lists this ribosomal RNA (248 nucleotides) under uncultured bacterium. RNAcentral's name for it is "partial 16S ribosomal RNA". It matches the Rfam family "Bacterial small subunit ribosomal RNA", at positions 523 to 769 of the family's 1533-position model. The record is from RNAcentral.